ACGGCUCAGUAACACGUGGACAACCUACCCUUGGGUCUGGCAUAAUCCUGGGAAACUGGGUAUAAUUCCAGAUAGGUCACAGAUGCUGGAAUGCACUGUGGCCGAAAGCUCCGGCGCCCAAGGAUGGGUCUGCGGCCUAUCAGGGUUGUAGUGGGUGUAACGGACCUACUAGCCUACGACGGGUACGGGUUGUGAGAGCAAGAGCCCGGAGAUGGAUUCUGAGACACGAAUCCAGGCCCUACGGGGUGCAGCAGGCGCGAAAACUUUACAAUGCGGGAAACCGUGAUAAGGGAAUCUCGAGUGCCAGCAUAUAAUGUUGGCUGUCCAGAUGCCUAAAAAGCAUCUGUUAGCAAGGGCCGGGCAAGACCGGUGCCAGCCGCCGCGGUAACACCGGCGGCCCGAGUGGUAACCGCUUUUAUUGGGUCUAAAGGGUCUGUAGCCGGCCAAGUAAGUCCCUUGGGAAAUCUGGCAGCUUAACUGUCAGGCUGCUAGGGGAUACUGCUAGGCUUGGGACCGGGAGAGGUGAGAGGUACCUUGGGGGUAGGGGUGAAAUCUUGUGAUCCUCGGGGGACCACCAGUGGCGAAGGCGUCUCACCAGAACGGGUCCGACGGUAAGGGACGAAAGCUAGGGGCACGAACCGGAUUAGAUACCCGGGUAGUCCUAGCCGUAAACGAUGCUCGCUAGGUGUCAGUCACGGUGCGACCGUGAUUAGUGCCGUAGGGAAGCCGUGAAGCGAGCCACCUGGGAAGUAUGGCCGCAAGGCUGAACUUAAAGGAAUUGGCGGGGGAGCAC
RNAcentral lists this ribosomal RNA (793 nucleotides) under Methanosaeta sp. enrichment culture clone L55A_31. RNAcentral describes it as "bacterial SSU rRNA". It matches the Rfam family "Archaeal small subunit ribosomal RNA", at positions 85 to 879 of the family's 1478-position model. Lineage: Archaea; Methanobacteriati; Methanobacteriota; Methanomicrobia; Methanotrichales; Methanotrichaceae. The record is from RNAcentral.